This 389-nucleotide long non-coding RNA is filed under the name Pectinophora gossypiella (pink bollworm). Its description in RNAcentral is "uncharacterized LOC126373674". The record is from RNAcentral. Lineage: Eukaryota; Metazoa; Arthropoda; Insecta; Lepidoptera; Gelechiidae.
CAUCGACUAGGUGGCACAGGCUUCGACUUCAUGCUAUUUAAGUCAACUUUAAAUUAAAUUACUUAUGUUAAUAGUUUAUAUCUAAUUUAGCAAAUGCUGAUAUUUGCGAGCUUUGGAAAUGUUAUAUAAAAUUCCCAUCUGUGAGCGCCGGCGUAAAACGAGAGACUAUUGAAUGUGUGCAUGUGGAUGGGUCGAUCGGUGAAAAGGAGAUUUGCAUUGAUGAGGACACAGGGGAGCGCGUCCAAUGUCCCUCAGAUAAGUGCUUCAAAGACGCUAUGACGAGGAGCGGCGGCCUAGCAGGAAGAGGGUUUCCUUUCUUUGGCGACGGUAGCGACGACACCAGCGAUGAAAAGCGAGAUUGGAGUUUCAUAGGAAGCUGCGAAUAUCAG